CCACCCCAUUACAAGAAUAUUAAUUAACAAGAUCAUAAUUGUCCAUCUAAUACAAGUAGACCAAGAACAAUUAAAAUUAAUCAUGUAUAGAAUCCAUUUAGCUGUUAGCUUUCUUCAAAAACCCUAACUUUUUCAUGUACCAAAUUCACAAUUAUUUGGUUCUCACACGAUGUUCAGUACUUGAUUAAUUUGAAUUCCUACCGAAAAGUAUUGUUGGGAGUAAAACCUCCCGAUCGAGGUACUUUCGUUCUAUUUUACUAUAUAGCAGUUUUGAAUCUGCCGUUCGCUCUUUUGCAAGUGCUCGUCUAGCUCCCGCUCCUUGAUCUCUUCUUUUUGUUUUUAACCGUAUCCCUUCGUUCAACCCUAUGGGUUUUUUUUCCACUAUAGUGAUAUUUCUUUGCUACUUCUUUUCUCGGCUAAUGGAAAAAAAAUCUUCUUUUUACCCUGCCAAGCGCCAUUCAUUUCCAAAUAGUAAACGUGUUGCUGAACUCAGCGCUCCUUACCAAAGACGACUUCAUCUUUUUUUUAUACAGUAAUUAACAUCAUCGAAAUUCAAAACACCAGCAUGAUUUUUGGUCUAUCACACUUUGAAACUUCUUCCAAUAAACUUUAAGCUUUGCAUGUUUAUGAAUAUCCAUGUAUAUAUAUAUACAACCUACUGCAAAAAAAAAAAAAAAAGAAAAGGAAAUUCAGUACCAAUUAAUUUAUGGAACCUAUUAACUAAUAUGCAAAGUAAAUAAAACAAAGAAAAGAACUCACAUAUAUAAAUAUCACAUAGAGAAAAAACAUACUACAAGGUAAGCUUGACCUUCUUCCAAUAAACUUUAAGCUUUGCAUGUUUAUGAAUAUCCAUGUAUAUAUAUAUACAACCUACUGCAAAAAAAAAAAAAAAAAAAAGGAAAUUCAGUACCAAUUAAUUUAUGGAACCUAUUAACUAAUAUGCAAAGUAAAUAAAACAAAGAAAAGAACUCACAAAUAUAAAUAUCACAUAGAGAAAAAACAUACUACAAGGUAAGCUUGAGUACAUUUACUUCUUUUAAUCUAUAAAGGCAGCUCGGUGCAUUAAAACUUUCAUUAUGCACAGAGUUCAAGAAAUUAAUUAGAACCCAAUCACAAGGGUCUAUUGCGCGGAGCUUUACCUUGCAUUUCUAAAUAAGACAGUUUUCAAAACUUGAAAACGUGACAUUCUAGCAACAUGACAACAGCAACUUUAACGAUAACUCCAACGUUCCUCUUCACUUCUUUCAAUCUAUAGGGAUAUAAAAAUUGAAAAAAGCAAUUGAAUGUAAGUUUUGUAUACUGACAGUGUAUACUAAUAUAUUCACAUCAUCAAAUAAAGUUAUCGACCUGUAUAUUAACACCUAAGUAAUGAUAACAAACGGGGUUUAUAACAUGUUAAAUUACACUGAUAACGUAAAAAAAAUAUAAACUAGUGAAUGAAACAUUAAUUAAAGGGAAGUGGAUAUAAUAGGGAGCUCCCUUCAGUCCAAGACGUGACAGCGAUAGCUAAACACAGCUCAUGCAUCGUUGAAUCUCAAACACGUCAAAUUUCCAAAACUCCAUCUUGUUUACGACGUGCUUAAGAAUCAACGAGUCAUCAGCUGUAUUUUUAGUUAUCGACUGCCUCGGACUGGACUGGAGAGAGCUCCUUAUUCUCCAUUGCCCUAAAUGAAAGAACCAAAAAGCAAAAAACAUGCAUAGCACAUACAAUAACAUUUAAUUGAAAAGAUCAUUCCAUUUUUUUUAUUUUCUUUUUGGAAUUAUAAUUUUAUCAAAAAUAUAAAGUCAUGUGAAUCAUAAGUGAAAUGUGUAUGGUAAGUGGUAACAAUAAAAGGAAGAGGGAAAUAUAUAAGGGGUAUUGGGAACAAGAAAAUCUAAGUGUAGAUUUAGAGCAGUGUACGAAGCUAUAUACAAAUUCGGAUUCGCAUCGCGUAACGCUCAUUAUAGAGGAACUUUUUCGUACUAGGAUUUUUUUUUAACGAGAAUAAGAUUAGAAUCCGGGACCUCUAAUUAAAGACCGUAUCAUUCACUUUAUUUGGCAAGCUUCGGUGCAAAUAACAACAGAUAUUUCGUGAAAUUAGUCGACAUAUGCACAAGUCGAUACGACACCUUGUCGCGAACCCAAAAUAGGAUCAUGACCGACGUCAAGGAGGUUAAAACUCCAAAGCAAGCCUCGUCAGCAAUGGCGGAGCGAGAAUUUUCAUUGAGUGAAUUCAGAAGUAUAUAUACGAACCAGUCGAAGGGUAUUCAACAUCUACUAUAUAUGUAUAAAAAAUAUUUUUAACCGUGUAAAAAUAGUAUUUAAAUAGUAUAAUUUUUCGUCGAAGGGGUUUCGGUCCCCCUAGAACAAAGGUUGCACCGCCACUGCUCGUCAGUAAUCUACAGAAAAUCAGACAGAAUUUUUCCUGUUUUUAGGCCUAUCCAAAAUUUUCCAGUCUCAAAUCAACAACGCAACAAUCAACAUCACCAACACAAUUUGCCAAUAUUAUCAGCAAUCAUUCACCACAACAUAUCAAUACGAAAUCCGUCUCCAAAAUAUGAGAAGAAGUCAAAACUCCACAAGUCCAUAAUAACAAAAGAAUACUCAGCAAAGGAAAUUUAACUGAGCGAUUCUAAGAAUUCAAAUAAUAGACUAUAAUGAAUAAAUGAACUUGCUGCCAAUGCGAACAAAUGGGGCUCACGGGAACACACCAAUUCUUAUGCUCUAGUUAACGAAAUUCUCACUGUCACCUCUGUUCUCUGAAAACAAAUAGCGAUGAGUGAUUCGCUAGUAAUAACCUUUUUAAAAGAGGACAAGUCAGGUUAGAAUUCGAGACCUCUAGUUAAAGAUCAUGCCAUUGAUUUUGUUUGACAAAUUUUAAUAGAAAUAUCAGAUAUUUCGUAAAAUUAAUAGAUAUGACACAACAUUUAUCAAGAGUUGUACAACUUUAGCUAAUACUCCUAUAUAGUAGGAAAAAAAAACAAAAGGCCUAGUACACUGAUUAUACAUCAAAUCAAACAGAUGUAUGGUUCAAAUUUUACGUAAGACAUAAGUUACUAUGUAUAUUUGGGCACGACAUUAUCAUACUAUUCUAAAAUUGGAAUGACCUAAUAACAUGCAAGUUCUAAUUGAGUACGUGGACUAAAUUAUUCGAAAAUUAUAAAUUUAAAAUUAUAAUUUUUAGAUUAGCUGGUGGAUAAAAAACCUUAAGAUCCAUCAACCAUAUAUUAAGUCCACAAUGAAGCACUACUACUUUCCAUUCAUUUUAUAUAUCAUACUUUUCUGCUUAAUUCGUCUCAAAAAUUGUUACUUUACUAUAAUUAAAAAUAAUUUAGCAUUAAAAUUCUCUUUUUAUUCUUAAAUAAAAUAAUUUAUAGUCUUGAAUUAUUUCAAACCACAAAUAUUAAAAACUUUUUUUUUCUUAAAUGGUAUAUCAAAUUAAAGAGUGUCACAUUAAAGGGUCGUUUGGUAGAGUGUAUAAGAAUAAUGCAAAAUAUCUUGUAUUAGUAAUGUUUGUGUUAGUUAUGCUUGCGUUAGUUAUACUUGCAUUUUUCUCAUGUAGAAUUUGGUUUGAUGUAUCAAAAAUAUAUGAUUUGGUGUAUCAAAAAUAUAUGAAUUGUAUAAAACAAAGAAUUAAAAAAUAUUUUUAUAUACAUGGUGGAAAGGAUGUGGAAAAGAUUUGGAGAGAAAAUUGUCUUUAAUUGUGAUAAUGCAUGCAUUAGAAUCCAUUGUCUUACUAAUGUCGUGGAUUUUGAGAUAUUAGCAAUACACCUCUUGAUACACAAUAAAGUGUAUAAUGAAUGCUUGCAUUAGUUACAUAUAGGUUAAAAAAAUAUAUCAAACAAGAUUUUAGUAGUACACAUAACUAAUGCAUGCUUUAUUUUUUAAUACACUCUAUCAAACGACCCCUAGUGUAUUGGAAUGUUAAUGCAUGUAUUAGUUUAAUGUGUACUAGUACUUAGUAGUAUCUUGUUUGGUAUAUUUUUUUAUCCUAUGUAAAGCUAAUGCAAGCAUUAGUUAUACACUCUAUUGUGUAUUACUAAUAUCUUAAAAUCCAUGACAUUAGUAAUGCAAUAGAUCUAAUGCAUGCAUACUAUUACCCCUCAAUUUUUUUUUUACAUCCUUUCCAACAUAUAUAUGGAGGAUAUUAUACAAAAAAAUAAUAAUUAAAAAUUAUGUAAUUCAUGUUAUUUUUAAUACAUCGAACCAAACACUAUAUAAGAAACAACACAAGCAUAACUAACACAGAUAUUACUAAUACAAGCAUUACUAAUAUACCAUAUUUUGCAUUAUUCUUAUACACUCUGUCAAACGCCCCCUAAAUGAAAUGGAGGAGUAUUAAGAACACAUUUUUCACCUUAAAGAAAUGACCAAAAAAGAAAAAAAAAAUAGAAAAAUAGCAUGAAAUUUAGUACUCCCUCCGUUUCAGAAUAAGUGAAUUGUUGGGAUAUUUAUUGGUGUUUCAAAAUAAGUGAAUCAUUAAAUUUUUUCUAAAUUUUUCCUUGUGAUUUGACAACCAAUUAACUUUUGAAAAGGUAUUACAAGGUCAGUUUUUUUGGGGGGGAGGGGUAAAAAUAGAAAGUUGUGUUAAAUUUAUGUCUUUAAUGCUUUUUUCUUAAUCUACGUGUCAAAAUUCAACAAUUCAUUUAUUAUAAAAUGGAAGAAGUACUAAAAAUUGAUGAGUUGACAGAUUGAAAUGACAAGUCUUACUGGCCAAGUGUAUGAAGGGGGUACUUCAUUGUCCCACCCAUAAUGGGAAUCCUAAGAAAAAUACAACAAUCUUUGAGUUAUCUAGUCAUCAAAAUUACUUUUCAAAUCUAACAUAAAAAUAAAUCUUGUAAGGACAAUAUUUAGCUGCUUUUGGAUUUUGAAAAGAUAGAUGCAUGGUUAGAGGAGAACUAUAUAGUUCUAGCAUGGGAUAUUGGUCUAAGUUCUAGUUACUUACUUUCUCCGUUACACUUUUAUUUGUUACAUUUCACUUUUUAAAAGUUAAACUAGAUGAAACUUUGGCUGAUAUUUUAAGAUUUUUUUUAAUCAUAUGAAUAUGAGACGAUUGCAACUUAUAGUAUUUAUUAUAUAAUUUUUGAAUAUUUAAAUUUAAAAUUUUAUAUUAAUCUAUUUCAAUCUAACUUUGAAGUUUAGUCAAAUUGACUUUCGUGAAACGAAAUAUCACCAUUACUCGAUACUUAAGAAAAUUCAAAAUUUAUAACAAAUGAUACCGUGUCACUAAUGAAGGUUGUGAUGAAAUGAUAAGUACUCUUUCAUCUUUAAUUAAGGUCUAGAGUUUGAGUCCCCAUGAUAUAGUGUCGCCUUUCUUAUGGAGCGGUUUAACCAGGGGCGAAACUAGCUAAUAGUGAGGGGGUUCAUCCUAACCCCCUUUGGCUAAAAAUUAUACUAUUUAUACAAGCUUAUAAUUAUUUUUCGUGUAUAUAUAGCAGACGUUGAACCCCAUUCGACUAGUUCUUUUGUUCACGUUUUUUUAUUUUUGAACCCCUUAGUUAAGAUGCUAGCUUCGUCACAGGGUUGAAACCCCCACCCCCACCCCUCUCCAACCUAAUGUGGGACUUCUCAACAUGAAUUUGAGUUUAUUCAGGUUCUAAUGCGUAUACCAGACACUGGGUGAGAAUUUUUCUUUUUUUAAAAAUAAAAAAGAGAAAGAGAGAGAUACCUUGUCACUUGGGAAUUGGAAUUGGGUCCAAGUAAAAAAUUGGGCUUAGUUGAUUUAGCCCACAAUGUUCAAUUUGGGCACUCAUUGACAACUUUUCUUCUUAUAAUCAAGUGGGCCACUAAGCAAAAACUAUUGGGCUUGGGUAAGCAAAAUUGGGCCAAAAAUUUGACUUGGGUUAGAUAUGGCAAACUAUGGAUCCAAUUUAAGUGGAUUUCAUGAUAUUGAAUGGCCCAAGUGCAUAGAUACUCGAUUUUGCGACACUAAUAUUUAAGUCAUACUCAUAGUACAUUGAAAUUUUUCAAUCUAAUAUUUUUGAAAUAACUUCAAAUAUGUGGCGUUUGAAACUAGACAAAAUGUCUGAGGUUUUAUACGGCCUGAAUUCAAGCACAUAUCUCGUUGACUCAUUGCAUCCAGGUGAGUGAAUUCAGUUAUUUUUGCUUAAACUUUAGAUUAUUUUUUUUUCCCUAAAGUUAGACUUUGUCAAGAUACGCUCAAAUACCUCAUGUUUGAAAUGUUCUAUGAGGAAUAAAUUCUCAAAAGUGUUUUAAUAAAUGAAUACAUAUUAAAUAGCAACGAUUAUAUAGGAUGCCCCAUAAGAUCUUUACAUAAAAAGCGAAGUUGAAUAUAACUUUGAAUGAGUUAUAUCUACAUAUAUGACAUUCAUUCCUAGAAAAAAAUUAUUGAGAAAAUAAAUAAUUUUCCAUAUUAGUUUUUUUGUGUUAAGUAAAUGCAUAGAAUAAUUACACUUAAUUUUAAUGAUAAUUUUUCCCAUUUAAAUAAGAUUUAUUUCUUCUCCCCUAGGAAACCUCACCUUUUUACUUUUUUAUUUGUUUUUCAUAUAACUAUUUUACAAAGGAGAAUACAUUGAUUCCAAUCAAAAUUCUUUAAUAUAAUACAUUCUGAAUUGGCACAAGAAUCUUGUUUUUCGAUUGCAAUUUGGGAAUUUUAAGGUAUAAAUAAUUUUUUUCUGACAAUACUUGAUUAUGUUAAUACCAAAAUUAUAUUCCUGGAAUUUUUAUUAUUGUGUUUGUUAAUUGUUCUUAUGAAAUAAUUAUAAUUUACCUUGUUUCUGGGUAAUUUUCAUUAAUAAUCCAUAAAAUCUUCUAUAACGUGGCACUUUUCGAUACUAAUUUGUUAUCCUACAAAUAUUUUAGUAUUAUGUUUUUCCAUUCCCUAAUUGUUGAAUGUGAUAAUUCGUAUUAGUAAUAUAUUUUUUUCGAACUAUGUGUUAGACACUUCAAAAAUGUUGUCGGGCGAGUGUCGGAUCAUCUAAAAGUAGUGCAUUUUUGGAAUAUCCGACACGGGCGCGACAACAUUUUUGAAGAGUCCGUGCAACAUAGCUAGUGAAAGCAUGUUGUUUAAGCAAAAUAAUUAUGGGAAAUUCACUUUCCGACUAAUCGAAAUUCGUGUUAUGUAGGGUCCAGUAAAGAGGAAAGAGCUCUCUAUCGAGAAAAAAGUUGUACGUAUUAUGUUUUGCCAUUCCCUAACUGUUGAAUGUGAUAAUUCAUAUUGGUAAUAAAUUUUUUUCCAACUGUGUUUGCUUAGACACUUCAAAAAUGUUGUCGGGCGAGUGUCGGAUCAUCUAAAAGUAGUGCAUUUUUGGAGUAUCCGACACUAGCGCGACAACAUUUUUGAAGAGUCGGUGCAACAUAGCUAGUGAAAGCAUGUUAUUGCUUAAGCACAAUAUUUUGGGAAAUUCACUUUCUGAUUGAUCGAAAUUCGUGUUGUGUAGGAUCCACUAAAGAGGGAAGCGCUCGCUAUCGAGAAAAAGAAGAUGUUAAGAUUAUUGAGUGAAGUAGCAAUGGUUGGCAACACAAAGUCUCCUGAACAAGGUCUCAUUAGUACUGUUCUUCCUUUGCUUAAACUUCUUUCACUUGCAAUUUUUGGACUAAUUCUUGGUCACAAAAAGACUCAAAUUGUCCCAAAAGAAACAUUCAAACUUCUUAGCAAACUUGUCUUUGCACUUUUCUUGCCAUGUUUGAUCUUCAUUCACUUAGGACAAUCAAUCACACUCGAUAAUUUCGUGCAUUGGUGGUUUAUACCGGUUAAUGUGUUGUUGAGUACACUUGUUGGGUUCGUGUUAGGUGUGUUAGUAGUCAUCAUAUGUCGUCCACCUCAAGAGUUUACUCGAUUCACUAUCAUCAUGACCGCGUUUGGUAACACGGGGAACCUUCAUUUAGCUAUAGUUGGCUCUAUUUGUCAUAGUAUAGAUCAACCUUUUGGACCUGAUUGUAAAAGGAAUGGAGUUGCUUAUGUUUCUUUUGCUCAAUGGGUCGCGGUGAUUCUUGUUUAUACGCUUGUUUAUCAUAUGAUGGAGCCUCCGAUGGAGUACUAUGAGGUUGCCGAUGAAAGGGAGAAGGUGGAGGAGGAGCGCGGCCAGCAGGAGGAUAACGGAGUUAGCAGGCCGCUUUUAGUUGAGGCUGAGUGGCCUGGCAUUGAGGACAAAGAAACAGAAAACUCGAAAACAGCCCUAGUCGCGAGGAUCUUUAAUUCUGUCUCAAAUCUUUCGGUAGCCAAUGGACCUGAUGUCGAAAAUGAUAUACAUGAUACAGCUGAUGAUCCCGAGCCCAUUAGGUGUUUGGCUGCACCUAAAGUAAUCAAGAAAAUGAGAACAGUUGCUGAACAAACACCCGUGCAGCACAUACUUCAGCCCCCAACGAUUGCUUCUCUGUUUGCCAUACUCGUUGGGAUGGUCCCUCAUCUAAAGGCGUUCACCUUUGGAUAUGACGCUCCACUGUCUUUCAUCACGGAUAGUUUAGAGAUCUUAGCCGGUGCAAUGGUGCCAUCGGUAAUGCUUAUCCUCGGAGGAAUGCUAGCUGAGGGGCCUAAUGAAUCCAAACUUGGCCUCAGGACUAUGAUUGGGAUAUCGGUAGCAAGGCUUUUCGUGCUUCCUCUGUUGGGGAUUGGGGUGGUUACGCUGGCUAACAAGAUGAAUAUUCUUGUCGAGGGCGAUCAUAUGUAUACGUUCGUGCUUUUGUUGCAGUAUACAACACCCAGUGCAAUCUUGUUAGGAGCCAUUGCCAGCUUGAGAGGUUAUGCAGUAAGUGAAGCCUCAGCACUUAUUUUCUGGCAGCAUUUGUUGGCACUUAUUUCACUGUCAUUGUACAUUGUUGUUUACUUCAAGAUGUUUUCGUUCUCGUGAAUAACUAUGCUGCUCGGACCCUCCAAAAAUACUGUCGUACUUGUAACGGAUCCUCUUUUGAUGCUCACUAAUUUAAGUGUAUCAAAGGUAACUACCUUCUUUGGUUCCUCACUUUCUUGCUUAUUCGAAUUCGUUGUAUAGCAUAGGGUUAGCUAUGUAUGCCGACAAGUGGUCAAUUGAACACUCUUUGUUGAAAAAUUAUACUAUAUAUGCAGGUCGAAUGUUAAUUUCCGUACAUAUAUAUUAUAGCCUUGAAAGUACGCUAUUGAACACCCGUUAGUGAAAUUUCUGACUUUGCCACUGGACGUGUAGCGCCCUCUAACAGCCAAAAAGUUCUUUUCGAAAGGGCACAACUACUUGUGUAUGACUAAAAUAUACACUUGGAUAUUAUGCGUGAUCGUAUAUGUCAAAGAGGAGAACAUGAACAGAACUUGUUUAGACGUACAUCACACGAGAUACACGCGUGUGUUUUUUCUGUUUUUCUAUCAGGGGUAAUCGGAAUUUUUCGUUUUGUGUAUACUUUGGAAUUUGUAUGGUGAUACAAGAAAUAUUCAUUGUUGGCCCAAUGGGCCUUGGUGUAUCAGGCAUAUUUCAUUGGGCUAUGACUGGAUCCUAAUGCUGGGUUGGGCUUGGCAAUUGCACAUAUAGCCGAUUUUGAGAUCCCUAUUUAAGCCGAGGCCUAAAUUCAUACAUUUUUGCAAGUUUAGCGACUUUAAAUUAAAGUUGUGAAAUUCAUUUUUUAGAAAAAGGGCAGUCGGUGCACUAAAACUCCUGCGAUACGUAGGGCUAGGGAAAGUACCCCACCACAAGGGUGUAUUGUACGCAGUCUUACCUUACAUUACUACCAGAGGCUGUUUCCUAAGGUUUGAACCCGUGACCUUCUGGUCACACGACAACAAACUUUCAAUACGUAUCUGCAUUUUGAUUUCGUUAUAAUGAGUGAAUAUUCUGAAGUUUGAACUAUCAAUUUUCGUACCUACCAAUGUUUUUCAGGGUUUUCCAACUACAUCUCUUUAAUUAAACUCACUUUUCAUUGUUGAAAUUCAAUAUAUACUCUUGUUGUCACGAAAAUGGUUCAGAUUUACCCACUCUCAAUUUCUCUCGUCAAAUAAUCAAUAAACCUCUUUUGUUUCUUCAUGAUAAUAUAGUCGAGGUACAUAUAAGCCGAUUAUCGGCUUAAAUAACAAUAUGAAUUAUUAAAAAAUAAGAUUACAAAGAGUCGAGGUACAUAUAAGCCGAUCAUCGGCUUAAAUAACAAUAUGAAUUAUUAAAAAAUAAGAUUACAAAUAAUCAAAUUUGCUCCAUCAAGGAUUCAAGAUAUAUAUUUGGGUAGUUGAGCAAUAAUUGUUCUUCUAUAAUCUUCCAAAUCUUAUAUUCAAAAAUGUGAACAACGUGUCUUAAGGAGUUUGAAUUGUAGUAGGUAGCAUUUUUGACUAAAUGAGAGACAAAAGUGUAAUUAAUAGAAGUUUGAGGGCGUAAACUGACAACUCAAGGUCCUUUUUAUCAACUAAACUUUCACUAAAUUUAGGAUCGAAAUGAGAUAAGCAAGGAUGUAUAACGUAUUGAAAAGUCUUAUAAAAUUAUUUUAUCUUAUUUUUUAUAUUUGAUAAUAUGAAAUAACUUCGAGAUUAUUAUUCUCGUCACAUGUAUUAGAGGUUUCAAUUAAACUUUAUACAAAUCAAAAGUAAGAAUAUGAUUUUUCUUCUCUUAAAGCAAAUAAUGGAAAUAGAGAAGACCAUUUGACUAGGAAAAUAAAACUUUGAAUUGUAUUGGAAUGGUCCAACACUUUAUUCCAAUUCAAGAUGGCAUAAGAUUUCUUGUUCAAAAACAAGAUUUUAACUAGAACAAAAAAGUAUGUUUGGCUCCAUUCGAUGUUCGAUAUUCAUUUUAAUGUCCGAUCAGUUCAAGUUAAGUCCGUAAAGAUAAAGCGAUUUUAUUUUCAAGACGUGAAUCUGAGCUUCAAAUUAAAAAUGGAAAAGUAUUUUUACUCGACCACUGCCAAAGUUUGACACACUUCUCUUCAUUGAACACAUUGAAAAGUUUGUGGAUAACAUAAAUUUCAUUUCUAAAUUUAAUUCCAUAUUUUAUAUAUACUAUGUGAUUAUUUCAAUGAAAAGAGUUAGCUCCAUGAACUAUGGAGAGGAAUUAAUUUAGAGUCAAAUAAUGACACUAAUCUUGUUACAAAAUAAAUAGAAUAUCCAUACUUUAAUCCCUUCAAUGUCCAAAAGUAAAACUAAACUUCACAUAUUGUUGCUACCCUAGUAAACAACAAAAUUACCGUAGUUCAUUAUAUUAAUUAACAAUACAAAAGGCAUCAUCAUAGAAAUAAAAAAAAUUAUAUAUAUAUAUAUAUAUAUGUAUGUAUGUAUAUGUAUAUUGGGACAGUGAAAUUUAAAAAGUUUGAAGUUUUUUCUUUAAUCAUUUGGUAUUCGAGAUACACUAAGCAGAUCACUUUUAAUCGUGUUAAUUUUCUUUCGUAAGAUUCUUUAUUUUCGAGGUUUAAACUAGAUAUUUUGGACUAAAAUUGAAGAAGUCCAAAUUAUCUAGUUUGAUCUCAAAUAACCGUUAUUAAGGAGACGUAAACACUUUCUAUCAAAAAAUAAAUUUAUUUCAGAAGUCAAAUUUAAAAUUUUUAAUCAAGAAUUAAGGGAUCUCAAUUAUUUCAUUAUUUAUUUAUAUAAAUAUAUUUUUGGUACGUAUAUGCGGAGAAUUGGAUAAACGCAAAAUGCAUGUCUUGUUUCAUGCACCUACCAUGAGUACUAAACAUUAUUAAUAAUUUAAUAUUAGAGCAAUCUCUAUAUUAUAAAAUUAUUGAUUCUUUUCACAUGGCCCCAUUAAAUUAAAUAGAAAAAAAGACGUAGAACUACUUAAAUAACUAUGAAACAAAUAUUGUACAAUUAUAGGACAGUUUAAUGCACAAAAUAUUUCAUAUUAAUAGAGUUUGGAAAAAAGAUGUAUACUUUAAAGGAGUGAUGUAGAUAAUUUAUUUUAAUUUUAAUAUUUAUUUCGACUUUUGUGAUUCGAACUCAUAACCUAUAAAUUAUAUGGAUACAAUUUUAUCGUUGCUCCAAAAAAAUCUAUAACUAUUCUAAACAUAAUUGUCCCCACUUGAGAAUCAAAUCGACCUCUUUGGUCAACUUCAUUGAUUUUGUAUCAAUAGAUUAUACACAAAUCUUUUUGAGUGUGUUGAUAACUUUUACAUUUGGAGAAAUAUUGCUAAUAGUUUGAUUUGAUAAUCAAAUUAAUUAUAAAAGAGCAAAUAAACAAAUAAAUCAACAAAAGCUUUUAAGUUUUUCAUAUUCUAUUUUGACCUAAAUAAAAGCAUAUAAAUUCAUCCGAUCGAUGAACACUCAAAUCGAACUCGCUCAUUUUUUUGGAUGCGAGAACCUAUUCGAGUAGUCAAUCGCUUUAUUUUGGAUUUGCGUCAAGCUAGCCAUAAUUGAUUCAGUUCAUUUUAAUCCGCUUAAAUAUUAUUCUUAACCCGCUCAUUUAACAUACCUAUUAAUAAAUAAAUUCUAAUAUUAAAAGACUAAUUUGCCACCUUUGAAAGUGCUUUAGCUUUUAUAGCAAGGUGGAUUUUGAAGAAUAAGAAUAUAUAUAGUUAUAUGCUUCUUGUUUUUCUCUUAUUUUUUUGUUAUAUGAUCUGGAUUUUUUUAAUUUUUUUUUGUAAUGUAGAUAAGAUGCUUUUAAUAAUUUUGUAUAUUAACUAGCAUAUUUCUUGAUAUGUGCGUUUGAUCCUUUUAUUAACCAAAUACAUAUAUAUAUAUUUAUUAAGCAAAUACAUAUAUAUAUAUAUAUAUAUAUAUAUAUAUAUUUCAUUAACAUAUGACGGUGACACUCGAAUUUUGAAAUAUAAAUUAUUCUUUGGGACAUUAUUAAUAACUCUUGCCACGUGGAUGGGCUGCUCCACCCUUGACAAGAGGUCGAGGGUUCGAUUCUGGGUAUGGAGAAAAUUAUUGGAUUGUUGUCACCUUAAUGGGCCCUACAACGCGCAAUCCGAAUUAGUCGGGACUCCAAUGUAGACACCGAAUACUGGAUGGGAAACCAAAAAAAAAACUGUCACCUUAAUGGGCCCUACAACACGCGAUCUGGUUUAGUCGGGGCUCCAAUACGGAUACCAAACACCGGGAGCGCUGUCACUUUAAUGGACCCUGCAACUCGCGAUCCGGAUUGGUCGAGGCUCCAAUAAGGAUAUCGAACACCGGAUNNNNNNNNNNNNNNNNNNNNNNNNNNNNNNNNNNNNNNNNNNNNNNNNNNNNNNNNNNNNNNNNNNNNNNNNNNNNNNNNNNNNNNNNNNNNNNNNNNNNNNNNNNNNNNNNNNNNNNCGGGGCUCCAAUACGAAUACCGAAUACCGGAUAUGGGAAACAAAAAAAUGUAGAAAAUAGGUAAGUGGUCAUUUUGACAUAGAAAUGGUAUCAAGAUAUUUCAUUCUUGACCAAAUUUCUCAAAUUGCAUUUGAAGUCUAAUGUGAAAAUAAACACUUGGGGUCAAACAUGCUAUUAAUUAAAACCUUAUUUAAAUUUAUUACCUUUUAAAAAUAAUGAUUUCCAACCUAUUAAAAACUUCGAAAUCUAAUAGAUUUAUUCUAGUAAAAGAUUUUAAAGAAAAUCUAAAUGGUUCUCACAUUGUUCCAAAAUAGUUGUCAAAUUUUGUUUAUCGAAAGUCAAUUUGACUAGCUUUCAUAGUUAAAUUUGAUUAGAUUAAUUUAAUAUUUUGAGACUUAGGUGUGUUUGGUACGAUGGAAAAUGUUUUCCUGGAAAAAGUUUUUCUGGAAAAUAAGUUGAUUUUUUAUUUAUUUUCUCAUGUUUGGUUGGCGAGUGAAAAAUAUUUUUCGAAAAAUAUUUUAUGUUGUUUGAUUGGUGAGUAGAAAAUAUUUUUUUGGUUGGCGAGUGAAAAAUAUUUUUCGAAAAAUAUUUUAUGUUGUUUGAUUGGUGAGUAGUAAAUAUACACUACUGUUUGAUUGUCGAGUGAAAAAAUAUUUUUUAGAAAAUAAUACUAACUGUUAACUAGUAUAUCAGUAUCUCUAGCAACUCAACAAUUUGUAAGAACUAAUUUAAAUAUGACAAAUAAUAUCAAUAUCGAAUACUAAAAUAUUACAAUCACUAAAUUUAAUCAACUACUAAUUAACAAAUAUUGGAGACAUUUUUCAACAUUUUGUUAGGACAAUCUCAAGAUACUACAAUCAAUAGAAAAACAACAGAACGACAAGCUUUUCAACCUUGUGAAACAAGCUACAUCGAUGGCAAAAUGAAAUAUGCAAUUAGCAAAAGUAACAUAGGUAAGUCUUCCUAUAUGUAUAUGGAAAUAACAAUACAUUCAACGAACAUUGGAAAAAAAAAAAUUCAAGCUUCACUAUUUUUUAUUUCAAGCAGUGAAAAAUUGAAGCAAAGUACAGUGAAAAAUAUUUUCGAGUAAUAUGAUUUUUUUGAGAAAUGUGAAUAUGAGUGUUAUUGGGGUAGGGAAGAGGGGUGGGGGUGAGGCAUAAGUUACAUUUGUCAUUUUCCGAAAAAAUGACUUCCCUUGGUCCAUGAGGGAAGUCAUUUUCCCUCAAAUGGAGGAAAAUGAGUUUUUAUGGAAAAUAUUUUCCCAACAUUUAAUUACAACCAAACAAGAGAAUUCCAGAAAAUAUUUUCCAGAAAACAUUUUCCAUCAUACCAAACACACCUUAGAUUAACGUUUUGACUAGUUGGUAAAGUUAUUGUCAUUGAUUAGAAUAUCACGGGUUCAAACAUUGUAAGCAGCCUCUGGCAUAAUUGCGAGGUAAGACUGCGUACAAUACAUCCUUAUGGUGGAGUCCUUUUUCGAACUCUAUGCAUAGUGGGAGCUUUAGGACAUCUCGUACUUGACUGUCCUUUCUCCGCGCAUGACGAAAUUUUUAGGGAUCGUUUGAUUGAAAAUAAGUUAUUUUUUAGAUUAGUUAUUUUACCUUAAGGAGGAAUGAAAAAAAAACUAUAAUUUUGAGAUGAAUUAUCUCAUGCAUUUUGUCAUAAUCAAACAUGUAGUAAGCUCAUCUUCUAAAAUAAUUUCGAGAUUAAUUAUUUUAUUCUUCCCACCAAACGAUUUCUAGUGCAUUGGGCUGCCUUAUUAUUUUUUAAACUUAGAUUGAAGUUAAUAUUAAGGGGUCAUUUGAUGUGAGGUAUACGGAAUAAGUAGUCUUGGAAUAAAACGAGAGAUUAUUUUAUCUCAUGUUUGAUUGGUGAUAUUAGUUAAUAUCGGGAUAACUUAUUCCACUAUUUAUACCAUAGUAAUGGAAUAAAUUAUCUCAAAUAAUUCCGGGAAAACUAUUUCCCAAUCAAAUGACCCCUAAAAAAUUGUAACAAGUAAAAAUAAAUCGGAUAAAUCUCUUUAUAAUCUUUUCAUAAUACUUUCUCCAUCUCAAAUUAUUUGUACCAAAUUGAGAUGACAUAUUGAUUAAGAAAAAUAAUUAAUAACAUAAUUAUUUUACUAUAGUAUCUUUAUUAAAUGAUGUUUAUAUUUUAAGUUGAAGGAAAAGUGAUUAAUGUAAAGGGUAAAAUAUAGAUUUUUUUUUUUUUAUUAAUGAAAGAAUUAAGUAAAAUAAAAAAUUAAAUUAGAAAAUUUGGGACGAAUAAUUUGAGAAGGACGGAGUAUCUAUGAAUGAAUGCUAGUUGUUUAUUGCUUCAAGGAUUGUGUGUCCCCACGAAUUCUCCAUUUUCCUUCCAAUUUUCCCUAUAAAUUCUGCUUAAACCCUAAUGAACCAAACGCCAAUAUACACAUUAUCUUCUUUCAUUCAUCAAAAAAUUGCCUCGCUUUUCUCCUCCACAAAUUCCAAUCUUGAUAUUAAUAAUUAUUAAAAGAAACAUCGCAUUUUUUCUUUCUUUUUCUCCAAUUUGUUUCACAUUUUUUGUUUCUUGGUUCUGCCUAAUCUUUCAUCUCUCUCUCUAUAUACACACCUUUAAUGGCUUCAUUGUUCAUCACUCUUCAACCCCUUUAACCAUUUUUGUGCUAAAAAAUGAAUCUUGAUUCUUGAUUUCUCCAUUUUUGCUUGUUCUUUGUGUUGGUUUUAGCCACCCCUUUAUCAAUUUUGGCCUAAAGAUUCAAUCUUUGUGUUGUUUUUAGCAACCCCAUUAAUAUUUUUGUGCUAAAAAUUCAAUCUUUGUGUUGUUUUUAGCGGCCCCAUUAAUAAUUUUGUGAUAAAAAUUCAAUCUCUGUGUUGUUUUAAGCAACCCCAUUAAUAAUUUUGUGCUAAAAAUUCAAUCUUUGUGUUGUUUUAAGCAACCCCAUUAAUAACUUUGUGAUUAAAAAUCUAUCCCCGUGUUGUUUUUAGCAACCCCUUUAUCAAUUUUGUGCUGAAAAUUCAAUCAUUAUCUUGUUUUGGUUAUUUUUAGCAACCCCUUUGACAAUUUUGUGUUGAAGAUUCAAUCUUUAUCUUGAUUUCCUCAAUCUUUAGCAAUGGCAAUUGCAUAUCCUCACUUUUUUGGACCAAAGAAAGUUGACCCGUCAUUGGUGGUAUCUUCAACAGCAACACAAUCAUCUCCACCUCCUGUAAUUUUGUCUCAGGAUGAGCUGAAAAAAGUAGCAGCUUACAAAGCUGUGGAGUUUGUUGAGUCUGGUAUGGUUGUUGGUCUAGGUACAGGUUCCACAGCAAAACAUGCUGUAGACAAAAUAGCUGAACUUUUACAUAGUGGAAAGUUGAAGAACAUUGUAGGAAUACCAACUUCCAAGAUUACACAUGAACAAGCUGUUUCACUUGGUAUUCCUUUAUCAGAUUUGAAUGCACAUCCAAUUGUUGAUUUAGCAAUUGAUGGUGCUGAUGAAGUUGAUCCACAAAUGAAUUUGGUUAAAGGUAGAGGAGGUUCAUUGUUGAGGGAGAAAAUGGUUGAGGCAGCUACUAAAAAGUUCAUUGUUAUUGUUGAUGAGUCAAAAUUGGUGAAUCAUUUAGGUGGUAGUGGACUUGCUAUGCCUGUUGAGAUUGUUCCCUUUUGUUGGGAGUUUACACUUAAGAGGCUUGAGAUGUUGUUUAUUGAAGCUGGAUGUGUUGGAAAGUUGAGAAAAGGUGGAGAUAGUGAGGAGCCUUAUGUUACUGAUAAUGGUAAUUACAUUAUUGAUUUGUAUUUCAAGAAAGAUAUGGGUGAUUUGAAAGAUGCAAGUGAUGCUAUUUUGAGGCUUGCUGGUGUUGUUGAGCAUGGCAUGUUUAUUGAUAUGGCUACUACUGUUAUUGUUGCUGGAAAACUUGGUGUCUCUGUGACUAAUAAGGAAUAGUACUAAGGUUGGAUUUAGAUAAGUUGUUAUCCUUUAGGAACUUAGUUGAGGUAUUAGGAUGUUUUUGUGGGAGGGGGGUUGAAAUAUUUAUGUGGCAGGUGUUUUUUGCACCAACUACUAUAUUGAUUUGUUUGGGGCAUUUGCCUCAAAGUUGCUAUCUUUGAAAUGGAUUAUUGAUGGUACUUUUCUUGCUAUAUGUUGAUAUCAUUUUUUCCCUUGACAUAGAUGACAUUUUCAUUGAAUUUGUGACAUCUGACUUUAGAUUUCUAGCCUUGAAGUAACUGGUAAAGUUGCCUCCAUGUGACGUUCAAGCUUUGGAAACAACAAUGUAAGGUAAGAUUACGUACGAUACAUUCUUGUGAUGGGCCCUUCCCCGGACACCGCGCAUAGCGGUAGCUUUAGUGCACCGGACUGCCCUUUUUUGACUUUAGAGCUCUGUGGUUUGAAUGAAGCAUUAUGCCCAAUCCUAUUAUAUUUGAAUCUUAUGCAUUUGUUGCUACUAGUUCAUGUUAAUAUGGCUCCUUUUUCGUGAUAGUGUAUUGGCUCUUUCUUGUGAUGGUAUUUUCGCCGUAGCUUUUACUCUUAUAUUUGUCUAACUUGUUUCCUAUAAUGCUUCUAUAGGAAACAACAUCUUUUCUCGAGACAAGGGUCUAUAAGAAACAACCUCCAUACCUCAUACAAUGUAGGGGUAACGAGUAACGUCUGCAUACACCCCGCCUCGCACAGACACCACUUGUGAGAUCACACUAGGUACAUUAUUGUUGUUGUUGGUAUACUGAUCUCUGCAUUAUCGUGUUGAAAGAUUCUUAAAACUCUCUUUAUAUACUCGUGCUUGCGCGGUUGUUAUUGACCUUUAACCUCCAAUGAAUUUUCGUGGUGACACCUAAACAUGUUCAAGACUGUCAUUUUGCAUCCAUGAAUGCUACCAUUAUCUGUCUAACUAGCUGUUAACAUUAAGGUCUCAUUACAAACAAUUUUCUGCAAUUUUAUACUGAUAGUCUAGGGGAAGAGAUACUGAUCUAAGUUGUGCAGACUCUUCACUUCCGGUGCAACACCCGUGUUGGAUUCUCCAAAAAUAUGCUAGUUUUAGUGCAUCCGAUAAGCACCCGUUAACAUAUUUGAAAAGUCCGAGCAACAUAGAUAUUGAUAGCCUCAAUUACAUAGGAUUUUAACAGUUGAUAUUUGUCUUCUAAAAACAAUGCACAAUGAUAUGGUGCUCAUUUGUUUGUCAUUUGGAUGGUCUUGAAGUUCUGAGCUACUGGGACCUAGUGUAUAAUGUUGGACAAAUGAUAUGAUGAAUCUUAAAGUUCCAUAGCCAUUGUGUGGCAUAGGAAUUACAUCUGUUAACUGUCUUGAGCCGGGGUCUAUCGGAAACAGCCAGGGUCGGGGUAAGGUCUCGGCGCACCUCAGACCCAACUUGUGGGAUUACGCCGGGUGUUUUGUUGUUGUUGUUAGGUGAAUAGUUGGUAAUGCUGCAUAUCUUCUGAGAUGGGGAUCGUUUAUUAUGACGUGCGCUCGUUGUAGUAGUAUAUGAUUUUUCAUAACGAAAAAAGGUGUGAAAUUCGAUUUCUUUCACUGUCAAAGGCUCGAACCACAUUAUCAUAUGCGCGGGUGCUUUGAAUCUCGUAUUUGUGUACAUAAUGUGUGUCGAUGUUCAUUUAGUGGGUCGUUGAGAAUGUGUAUCGACUAUCACAUUAGGUAUCUGUGUUGGUGGAGAUAGCAAGUGCGUUAUGAAAUUAAUCGAGAUGCGACAUCAACUAGUACAUACACAAUGGUUAUUUAAAAAAGCUAUCUUCAAAUAUCAAUUGUCUCUACUAAUUUUUGUUGAUCUAGAAAUUAAAUUAUGUACUUAUAUCUAAGUUGUACUAAUCCAUAAAUGAUUUAUUCAUAUUAUAUAGAAUAAUUAAAUUAUAUUUAUGGGCAAUAGCUGGCUCUGAUGAUAUAACUUAUCUUGGAGAUAGAAAAUUUUACUAAUAACUAAUAUCUCAUACUCGUUUUUUUUUUUUUUUGUAACAUUAUGACAUAAUGUAAAUCGAUAUAGUCUAUUUAAAUAAUAUAUUUUAUAGAAAAAUAUAAUAUAAUAUAUUACGAAAGGAUACGUAACAACCAUUCAAGAAGUUGUAAUAGGUGGGUAGGUGUAUAUAAGGUUGCAAAUUAUGAUGUGCAGAUAAAUUAUUUGAGGUGUACAUAAAAAAUUUGAAAUGAAAUGUCAACCAUAUAAUAUUUUUUGUCAAAAAAAAUAUAGUAUAAUGUAGAAGACAGCACAUGAUUAGAAGAUCUUAGAUUGUUCAAUUUUUUUAUGUACCUUGGUGCAAUUUUGUUAGGUAUACAUAUGAAAUUUCACAUGGAUUUGUUGGUAGGUGGGAGAACAUCUAAGGGAAUAUGAGAAUAUAUUUGAGGGAUUUAUAUGUGUAUAUAGGUAAUACUAUAGUCUUAAAAUUUCAAAUUCUACGGGUGAAACUUCACGACAAUAUUUUUAAGUUUCACUAACUUUAAAUUCAAAAUUUUGGGAGAAGAGAUAGAAAUAUAUCUGAACUUUGGCUAAAUUUGUUGUAACACGCCUCAACUUUGCGGUGGUCGUACGAUCCACCUCGACUAUUUAUUACCGUAUUUCUGUGGCAUAUAUUUGUUCAGCUGGACCACUUCAGACCCUUACGCACUAGUGUGCGUGUAUCCACGCAAUGAUCCAGUUACACAAAUAUAUGCCAAUAGUCUAGGGGGGUCAUAGGACCUCCGCAAAAAUUGAGGCGUGUUAUGAUAAAUUUCGUCAAAAAUUAGGUAUAUUUCGAACCUUUUUCCCCAAAAUUUUCAAAUAUAGAAUUUGAAAGUGGUUAUUUGUAAAAUUUAGCCAAAUCAUGCUCUCCGUUAUUUGUUGGCUAUUAUUUAAAGCUUUCUAUGAUCUAGCUUUUUAGGAAAUAGAGUAGUUGUACAUUGAUGGUCCAAGAUCUUUUCUCUAAUAUAUUCAAGCCCAGUCAUAUUUUGGGCUUAGGUUUAUUUAUUGUUCGAUAUCAAAUUGGACCAAUCCUUUUCGCGUAUAAAUAAUAUUAGACGAUCUAAUCAAAGAAGAUGAUAGCUCUGUAGAUUCGUUCCUAAUUCCUAUCCACGUCUUAAUCAAGAUUACAUAACUUAAAGUUUGGGAUUUUCUAUCUACGAUAACAAUCUCAUUACAAACGUAAGAAUAUCAUCCUUCUAGCCCCUAGUCGUAUACAGUUUAGUUUAUGAGCUUAAUUAGUCGAAAAAGUCCUCAGAUGCCUUAUUUUCGGAACUAAAUAACAAUGUCAAUAAUCUUAAUUAACCAUUAUCCUAAGACAUUUCUUGAUUUUAGCUAACAAUUAACUUGGUUAAUUACUAUAAUUAUCAAAGACAAAAGAUUACCCCUACUAUGAAAGAUUGAUAAAUGAUUGAAAUGUAUAUAUGGGUAUACAUUAUUUGUGGACACAAAAGGAGAACUAAUAAAUGUCUAGCCCAUACUUAACUAGGCCCAUUAAGGUGUGGUCCAAAUAAAAUUUGUUAGUUUUUGAUGUUAAUAGAUUGAUUAUUUGACCAAUCUAUGCAUGCAAGAGGGAAAUUAGACACAAUCAUAAAUGUCAGCUCGGUGUACUAAAGCUCUCACUAUGCACGAGAUUCGAGGAAGGAUCCGACAGCAACAGUCUGUUGUACGAGCUUUAGCUUACAUUUCUGUCAGAGGUUAAUAAAUGGGUUAAUUCAGAAAUGACCAUUUUGUAUCCUCUGUAAUUGAAAAAUAAUCAUUAUCGUGGGGUUUUAAAUUCCAAAAUUUUACCCGCAAGACUUGAAACUCCGUGAUAAUGGUUAUUUUUCAAAAAUAUUGGCCAAAAAGUAACCGGUAAACUCAACUUUUAUAUGAUAGGUAGUGAUCAAUUAAGGCCAAUAUUUUCAUCUCUUAGUCAGAGCUAUCGAGUUCGAGUUUCGAUAAUGAACUCGUCUUCGGUAUAGAGGUCUAAAAUCCCGUUGUAGGUCUACCACACGAGUUCAAAUAUUGAAUAAUAUCGAAUGAUACUAGAUUAUGAAUAACAGAUACCAAAUGAUUAAACAAGCACAAUUAUCAAAAAUUAGUGCCUAAUAAGCCCAUUAUUAGUAUAAGAAGUUUCUCUUUUUCAUUUAUUGGCUUGCUACUCCUUUGGUUAUGCCUAAUUUUCCUUUUUUUAAAAUAUUUAUAAAAAGCUAUAUAAAACCACUAAUACCUUUCUAAUUAUUUAUGCAUUAAGAUCCAAUCAAAUAAAUUUAACUAUGUGAAAAGUAAAAUAGGGUAAUAAAAAAGCAACAUUUGUUUUAUGCUACUUCACUAUUAAGUAUCUGACAAAUCAUGGGUUAUGUGCAGUGAAUGAGGCUGCUCCACCCUUAACCAGAGGUCGAAAGUUUGAUCCUGGAUAUAGAGAAAACUCUGUUGGGAGCACUGUCACCUUAAUGAGCCCUGCAAUGCGCAAUCCGGAUUAGUCGUGACUCCAAUACGGACACCGAACAUCGAAUGGGAAACCAAAAAAAAAAAGUACGUGACAAAGUAAUGGAUGGUAAAAGCAAUUUUUGCUUUUUUGCUUUUUUUUUUUUUUUUCUAUAUCAAUAAUGUAUGGUAAAGAAGUUAUAGGAGCCAAAUUUGUCAAAAGUUAAAAGUUGUGAUAUGAUUAAAGUUAAUUUCCACUAAAGUUUGAUACCCAAUUAAUUAAGUAACAAAUUACUUUUCCAAAUAUCAAGUGGAUAUUAACACUCUCAUUGACUAUUUAUUUGUCUAUAGUUAGGCACAAGUCCUAAUUUCACAAAUAGUCUUACUUAAGCCCAUGAAGUUUCACACGUAAAGUUUGAAACUCUAUUUUUUGGGAAAAGAAUCAGAAAUAUACUUAAAUUUUUGUGAAAUUUGCUAUAUGAUGUCUCAAUUUUGUGGGUAUCCGAUGACCCCCUCGAUUAUUUAUUAUCGCAUUUCUGUGGCAUAUAGUUAUUCAGCUGGAUCACUUCAGACCUUAUGCGCCAGUACACGUGUAUUCAUGCAGUGGUUCAAGUGGACAAAUAUAUGCUACAGAAAUACGGAAAUAAAUAAUCGAGAGGUUCAUAAGACCCUCGCAAAAUUGAGACGUGUUACAGCAAAUUUCGCCAAAGUUUAGGUAUAUUUCGAACCUUUUUCCCUUUUAAAAAAAAAUAUAUAAGACGGAAAACGACCAACAAACACUAUUUCUACUUAGAAUUCGUGUGGCAUAUAUAAAACCCAAUAAUAGGGAAAGCAAAUUCUACCAAAAAAAAAAUAAUUACAUUUUCAAAUUUCAACUCGAGACGUCUAAUUAAAAAAAUUAUCUGACUACUGUCCUAGGUGGUAACACGUCGUAACUUUAAAAUUACUAAAACACAUUUUUACUUAAAUUCAAAGUUUCUAAAAAUAUUUUUUUCAAAAUAGAGUUUCAACUAAACAUAUGAAGGGUGUAAUAUAAUGAUCCCAUAUGGAAAUUGAAACAAAUCUAUAUAUACCAAAUCUAUGUUUAUGUUGUUGUGAUUUCUUUGGAUUUAUUAUUUAUACCUUAGUUUAAUUACAUGGAAUUGGAGUUGUUUUCUCAUGUCCUAAUCAAUGACCAAUGUUUGGUAAUCUGCAAUCAAUAAAUAAUUAUUUUUUAUAUAAUAUACACUAUCUUUCAGGAGGGAUGGCCUUGGCUCAGCGGUAAGGGUCGGGGGUUCGAAACGCCCCUCCAGCGAAGCUGGGGUGAGGGCGUGUAGGUCAGGCCCGGAGUGGUCCCCCCUCCCCGACACCUACGGAGUAGGUAUGAACCGGGUCGUCCCCUUUAUACACUAUCUUUCAGAACGAAAAGAAUUCUGAUGAACCCCUUCCUUUCUGUUAUCUCCGUCUCGCGUGCCUCAAUUCUUUCAUCGGAUAUCUAGACAAAUAAAUAUAAAUCAUCUAUGUUCGAUCGCAUGGAUCAAGUUGUGUAUCUUCAUUCAAUCAUCGAAUACUUGUUGCCUCUCCUCAAAAUUAAAUCGAUGUGUGAAUAUAAUAGUGUAUAUAUCUAUCUAUAUUCAAUUAUACAUUUCAUUAUCAAGAAAAACUUAAAGCAAUAAAUUAAUUAAAGUUGAGGGUCCAAAUUGACUACUUCCUUUUCCUUUUUCGGGACACGUUUAUUCUUUUUUUACACUUCAAUUUCGCAAUCAAUAGUUUAUAAAUGUUUAUUUUACGACAUUCGAUUAAUAUAUUUUUUAUGUUUAUUUUUUAGAGUCAAAUUAUAUGAAUAUUGAUUAAUAUUUUAAGGUAUUUUUUAAUCAUAUUAAUAUGAGAAGGUUUGCAGCUCAUAUCUUUUUUCAUAUAGUUAACAGGAAUAAUUUUCAAACAUUUUUUUUUUCUUUUGUAAAAUGUAAAAUAUGUUGAAAGUCUUAUUCAUUUGGGACAACAUGCACACAAAAGCAUGCAAAAGGCAACUUAAAAGCUAAGAUCAAGUGACUCAAUUUGUGUAUAUAUAUUAUAAUAAUUCUUCUUUAUAUAUAUAUAUAUAUCCAUUUCGUGAAUAAUACAUAAAGUCUAAAGUAAGCCUUUUGUAAAGUGUUUAUCACAACUUGGCAAAGAUGGUAAACGUCUCUAUCCAUAGUCUAUUUUUUAUGAGCGUAAAAUCACGUACAUUUGAUUUAAAACGGACAAUAUUAUACCAUAUUAGGUAUAUAUUUAGAGUGUCAUUGUCACUACCCGAGUCGAGGCUUUGGCCGCGACGGGCGUCUCGAGAGACCCCUUACUCCUUAUCUCUAGUGAUAUUGUUCGCUUUGGGUCCAGGCCGGCAUGACUUUAAAACGCAUCACUAGAAAAUAAGGUUUGCUUAUUUAUAUAUUCAACAUCCCUCCUGUGUUUUGUCGAUGUGGGACUCCUUAAUCCUAAGUUGGGGUGUUACAUACCCCCCUCCUUAUGGACUCAGCGUCCUCGCUGAGGUUUGCCCCACCGAAUGGGAUUUGACUAGACUCAGGACUAAGGUUUGCCCCGCCUUAUCGAGAUUUGCCUAAACUCAGUUUGAACUCUGGACCACAUCGACAGGGCUGGCACAGGAGCGGCUCUGAUACAAUUCUGUCACGACCCGAGCCGGUUGCGGAUGCCCGUCGCGGCCAGAGCCUCGGCUCGGGUCGUAACAGAAUGUAUGCAACACCCCAAUUUAGGAUUAAGGAGUCUCACAUCGGCAAAACACAGGAGGUAUAUUGUGUAUAUAAGUAACCAAGCCUUACUCCCUAAUAACGCGUUUUAAAAUUGUGCGAGCCUGAACCCAGAGCGGACAAUAUCCCUAGGGAUAAAGAGUAAGGGGUCUCUCGGGCCUUCGUGGUUCGGGAUGCCGUCGCAGACAGAACCUCGACUCGGGUCGUAACAAGUAUGAAGAUGACGAAAUAAUGGGCACAUACAAACACAAUAGUAAACAUGAAGUUGAUGACCAUAUAAACACUUUGAAUAAUGAUGUACGUAUAGUGACACACAAUUAAUCACUUUUUGACAAGCUAAUACACUUUUCUCAAAUAAUUAACUAUUGUUCUGAUUAAUUAGGUUUAUAAACAAAGAAAAAUUGUACAAAAAAAAAAGAAAAGAAAGUUUGAUAUUUAGUAAAAAACACCUUUUGAUAUUGACUUGUGGAUGCAUGGACUGCAUAUACAACAGUAUAGUAAAACAAAAAUAACUCAAAUAAACGAAAAAACAAUAAUUCGUAAGUUUAUAAUUUAUAAUAAUCUACAAACAUAAACAAAACAAGAUCCAAGCAAAACAUAUAAUUCAACUCAUCAACUUGUUAUUUGAUUAAAUUUAUAAAUUCAUAAUAAAUUAUGUGAUAAUCACUAAUUUAUAAAAUAAUAAACAAAUCAAGAUCCAAACAAAACAUGUAAUUUGACCCAUCAACUUGCUAUUUGAUUAAGAUUUAAAAUCAAUAAAUUAAAAGCCAACAAAUCCUCCCACAUAAAAAGAAUAUCUAUUAUAUUAAUUAAGAAGAUAAUACUAAUUAUUCUUUGCUACUUUUGCCACAAGUACUAAAAGAAGAAAAAUAAAAUAUAGUUUCACACUGUUCCUCCAUUUUAGUAGACAAAAUAAAAAAUUCUCAUUUUUUUGUAGGCUGUAAUGAAGAAUAACAGGAUAUGGACUGAAAUAUAUAAAAGAAAUGACAAAAUAAUCAAAUAUUAGUAAUAUAUUAGAAGCUUUGAUUCUAAAAUCAAUAAAAUUAUGUGUGUGUGAUGGCCAUGAAUUUAUAUAAAUUUUUUUAAAUGUAAGUUAACUAAAAAAAAUAGUGUUUAUGACGUCUAGCAAAAGUGAUAAAAUAUAUUAGAGAUGUUGAUUAUAUAAAAAUUCAAACUUAAUUUAAACCCCAAUGAUGCAAUUUAAAUUACGUGGGUAAAUUUAAAACAAACAAUAUAACAUGUAGUUUGGUAUAUAGUAUCAAAUUUAUAUAUGUUACCUGUAACACCAAACAAUUGACCUUGUAGUAAAAAAAAAAAUUAAUAACAUAUCUAUGUCGUUAGAGAGAUCGAAAUUUUUAUCUUGAUAUUUGAAAGAUGUUUUGUUUAGAUGUUCGUGUUGAUUAUAUAUAGAGACAGAAAGUUAGUCAUAACUUCAUUUUUUAACAAAAAUGAAUUACGACAUAUGAUUACUCCUACAAAUCGAAUAGAGUUCAGAAUCAGAAAACCUACUUCUCAAACUGUUCGAUACUUGAAUAUUCUUGCGACGAACAAAAAGUACUUUUCUAUUCACUUGCCUCCGCACCUUUGCUCAUGCGGAACUGACUAUACACAGGGACUGUGUUAGCUAAUAGUGAGGGUGUUCACCCGAACUUCCUUCGAUGAAAAAUGAUACUAUUUAUACAGGUUUAAAAUUAUUUUUCAUGUAUAUAUUAGACGUUGAAUUUUCUUUAAUUAAUUUUUUUAUUCAUAUUUUUUUAUUUUAAACUCCCUUAAUUAAGAUAUUGGCUCCACUACUGACAAUGCGAUAUAAUGUUUUCAUUCUUGUUCAUCAAUGACGAAACAUUAUUUAUUUCUUCUAACAAUUAAGUGUUGUUGUAUUAAGAAGUGAUUAACAUCUGUUAAUUUAAAUUUUAAUUAAAUUACUAUAUAUAGUACGUAACACUUGACAUUCAUGGAAGCAUGACAAAAUUUGUCAAUAUUUUCGUCUCAAAAUAUUGACUACAAGUAGAGCUAAGUUAUUAUUAUAACAUCAGAAUAAAUUCCAAAACUAUAUAAAGUCAAAAUUUCAACAGACAAAAUUAUUAUUUUUUUCUUUCAUAUUUGGAUAACAUUGAGUAGUAUCUAAUAUAUGGACAAAUUGAUGUCAUAAGAUUUUAUGAUAAUAAUAUUAUAAUAGGAUUUUUCAUUGUGUGGUGUGUGAUCGUAUUAAAAGAUUGAAGAAAAUUAUCUCAAAGGAUUUAGGAGUGUUUUGGUUGUUACUUAUAAAAUUCUAACACAUAUUGAUAUGAAAUAACAAUAAUAAUAUAUUUAAUAUAUUUUUAUAAAUUGAGUUUGAGAAUAAUAGUGUUUAUACAAGUUAUCUUUAUCUCGUUGAGGAAGAGAGACUGUGACACCUCUAGCUUAGAAUGAGAGGUCUCACUUCGGUGAAAGCACAAAAAAAAUGCUAACUAUAUGAAUAACGCCUAAUACAAGCACCAUCAAAUUUAAUCACAUCAAAAAGCAUAAAAAUAUUCAACUACCUACUAACUAACUAACACAUAGUAAUAAUGAAGUCGUAUAUAACUAACCGGCUCAGCCUUACAUUAGUAAUAUCCGCAUAAAUUUAAUCUACGAUCAAACAACCUCCUAAGAGCAUAAAAGUGUAAUUAUUUAAACCUAUUUUAUAUUGUCGUUUGAUUGAAAACAACUAAUUCCGACAUUAGCUAUCCCACCCUCACGAUGAGAUAAUACACUAAAUUUCGAAAUAAUUAAUCUUGAAAUGGGCUUUCAUAUGCAUUAUUCAAAUCAAACAUAAGAUAAAUUCAUCCUAAAGUUAAUUCCAGAUCAGUUAACUCUUAUUCCUCGUACUAAAUGACACCUAAGCUCUAAGUUAAUUGGAUGAAAUAAAAACAACACUAUAAUCUCAAAAAUAAAUUAUCAUAUAUAUAUAUAUAUAUAUUUAUCUUAAUUAAAAAAUAAAUUCAUUCUAAAAUUAAUUUUAAAAUUAAUUAAUCCUAUACCUUGUACUAAACAAGCCGUAAGCGCUAAGUUGGUUGGAGGAAAUUAGGUAGUGUGAGAGUGUGUGUUUCAUUAUAAGUGGAGAUCUCCUGUUAAUACGCGGCGCUCCUGCUUUUAUGUCCACCGUUUUGGGCUGGGCCCCACCAUUUACUUGGGCCCACACUUCAAGAAAGCAGCCAUGUCACUCACAUGGGCCCACAAGAGGUGUUCCUCUGGAAUUUCUAACUAAAAAUUACUUGUAUCCACGAAACAACUUUACAUUAUUACAUAAAAUCUCAUAUUGGAAAUCAAAUUACAAAAAAUUCAAAUUAAUUACUUAAGUCAUUACUUUUUUUACUUACGCUCUCUUUCUUGUUAUACAUUCUAAAUAGCUUCAUAUUUUUCUCCUAAAAUCUUGCUACCUUAUCUCUCCAAUUAUCUAUCUACAUUAAACCUCCUUGUUAUCUUUCCACACCCACAAAUUAAGAUCUUUAAUAAUCUCUCUCCAAAAAAAAUUCUUCUCCAUUUUCUCCGUCUAAAAUCAACAAAUCUUCUCCAUCCAAAAUUAUAUUUUUUCAUCCAAAAUCGAUAAAAUCUUUUCAAUUUUCAUCAAAAAACCAAAAAGAAAUUACAAUUUCAUCCAAUAUAUGCUUCUCUGAAAUUACUUGUAAAAAAAUUACAGAAAUUAUUUAUACUAUGCACAUUUAUAAUGUAUGAUGCUAUAUCAUACAUUGAUACGAAUGUAUAAUCGAAUAUUAUACAUUCGUAAGUCUAUUGGAAUGACACAGCUUUGUUACACAUUGCUUUGAAUGUAUAACAAAUUAUUAUACAUUCAAAAAAUUAUUGAAAAAACACACUUUUAUUAUACAUUGAUUUGACUGUAUAAAAACAUAUUAUACAUUCGUAAGUUUACUGAAAUGAUACUGUAUAUAAUGUUUUUUAGAAAAAAUAAAUGAAAUCAGUUAAAUUUCAUUAUUAUAUUUCUAACCUCAUGCAUGUUAAUAACAUAUAAUGCUAUAUCGUAUAUUUAUUACACAUUAACAAAAUUAUUCGAAGAACGGAUGUAGAAGAAGUGGUUAUUUUUUGGCUUUCCAGAUGGUGAAUCACAAAAAUAAAAAAAUUAUAUAUAACAAAAUAUUUAAAAUUCAAAUAUCAGUUACAUGUUGUCUAUGUUCUAUCAAGAACGAAUUAAUGUUGGCUAAUUAAUGCCUUUAAUUAAGAAAUUAUAAAAUAAUUAAAGAUUCUCUUACCUUAAAUAUAGAAUUAGCUGGUACAUCAUACAUUCGACCAAUGUAUAAUAUUUGCGCGAAUAUACGAGUAUAUUUGCAAAAAAUAGGAGAGAGAAAACAAGAAGAGAUUUUGUAUAAUUAUUUUCAUUAUCUAGGAAAUUUAUGUUGUUUACACAAUUUCUAAACUUGCCCAUUCAUUAAGGUGUUGUUUGGUUGCGAAAAUAUGUAAUUUUGAAUAAUUAAUUUUGUGACUUAUUAUUUCAUUUUGUAUAAAUAAGAUAUAAUAUAUUCUAUCACUAUAUAGUGAAAUACAAAUAAUAUUGAGAGUAACUUAUCUUUAAUCGAAUCCUAUGUCUUAUACUUCAUAUCAAGUGAUUCCUAAAGGAAUAAACACAAUAUGAUAAUAUCAAUAGUGACGAGAACAACAACACACUCAUAUUUCCACAAAAUGAGAUCUAAGAAAAAUAACGUGUAUGCAGUUCAUAUCACUUUCUUAUAUCAAAAUUCCAUAGUAUAAGUGAAACAAAGUAGGUGGUGAUAUUUUCAUGCAUAUUUUAUGCAUUGCCAAAUGAAAUUAUAUAUUUACAAUAUGCAUGAUGCAUUCAUUGAUUUUCUGCUUAUGUUGUUGAUUAAUAUGUGAAUAGGAAAACAAAAUGAUCUAGUUCUAAUCUUUUUUUUUUUUUUUUUAAAUAGCUUGAAUAUUAAUUUGUGGGAAUUUAUUUGCAUGUUGUUGUUGCUUAAACAUUAACUAUUCAAUUAAAAUGAAAUAUCUUCAAUUGAGACGUGUUUCGAUUUAAUUUGUGAUUUACCUUAUCAUUUUAAGAUUAAACUAUGAACGUCUACGAUGCUACAAUAAGAACAUACACAGUAAAAUUUUAUAAGUAAAGUUUGGAGAGGAUAAAGUGUAUGCAGAUCUUACCAUUACUUCGGAGAAGUAGAGAGAAGCUGCUUUCGAAAGGCCCUUUGCUCAGAAUCCUUUGCUCAGAAUAGCAAAUCCAGAAAAGGAACAUAUGAAGAUAGCAUGACAACACGGGACAAUGCAAAAUUUACCAUAAAAAUAAUAAUCAGCCGCAAAAUAGUAUAAUAAUCAAAACAGAAUAAACGACAAUAAUGAUAGAGAUAUGCACGGCUUAACCCUACGCUACAAUACUAGAGUUAGUGCACAACAACACCCUACUCGAUACCAGCAUGGGUUGUGGUGCAGCGGCUGAAGCUGCUUCACCCUUAAUCAGAGGUCGAGGGUUCGACCUUGGACAUGGAGAAAACUCUGUUGGGAGCGCUACCUCCCGAAUCGGGUCCUACCCGGCGCAAAUCUGAAUUAGUCGAGCUCCAAUACGGGUACAUAACAUCGGAUGAAAAAUAAAAAAAAAAUUACCCUGCCCGAUUAAAUUUCUACUCUAAUAUGCGUCCUUCAUAUUUACUAUAUAUGUUUUUUUUUAACUUUAUUUAUAUCAAGGGAUUAAUUCAAAUUAAAUUAUAUGAACCUAAUAAUUUGUAUAGGGGACCUUAAUUUACUAGAAUGAUACAGUAAAUAUUUUUAUUUGAUAUUUUCUCAUAAUGAAUCUUUCAAUUAAUAAAAUCAUCACAAUACGAUUCCAUCAAAACAGUAUCAAAACAAAAAAACUUUAUAAGUUGUUAAUGGAACUAACUUUAACCAACAUUAAUAUUAUAGAAUGUACCUAACAUACACUUGAUUAUUUUCUUGAAAAGGGCAUUUCUUAGAAGGAAAAAAAAAGGCCAAUUAGUAAAAUAUAACCUCUUUUAAGAACCAUUUAACAAACAAUAAUUAAUUCAUUAAACCAUAAUAAAGGAUCUAAUUACAAGUCUUUUUUCUGUUUAUUUCAGAUUGAUUCUACUAAUAUAAUAUAUUUGCCCAUAUCACAUGGUCAUCCCAAUAAUAAUGCUCUUGUUAAGAUCUCACUUAAUAAUAUUUAAUGCAAAUAAAAAAAAUAAAGAAAAUAAAUAUGAAUUAACUUUUCAAAUAAUUUCGCUAACUACAAAGUUUCACAAUUUUUUGUUUUGAUCUUUUGAUUAGUGAUUUCCUAUAAGUAUUCUUUAAAAACAUAAGUUCGAUCAUGCAGAUACAAGAUUCAUAUCAUCUGAAAUUAAAGAAGUUCUUGUAUAUUGUUUUUUUUUUUUUAUCUUGCAUAUAGAAUUAAAAUCGAGUCAUUUAUGAUCGCCAUUUGAUCAUCAUUAGACAAUGAAAAAACACAUUUUAUGACGAAAUGAGAACACUAGAAAAUAUAAUUUCACAUAAUUAUUUUCAUCGAGAUUUAGAUAUUACCAUCAACCUUUAAUACUAAGAUCUCAUAAAAAGAAAAGUAUCUUAUUCUAUAAUAUCAUUAUCAAUCUUCAAUAAAUACUUUUUUCAAAAGACAAUCUUCAAGAAAAUAUUUCCCAUAUUUUUCAUAAUUAGGUUUAUUCUGCUCAAAAGGUAAUAUUAUCCGAACGUGAUUUAUAAUUUUUUUUCACCUCUAAAAGCUUUUAUAGUUCUUUUUUUUUUUUUCCAAUAAUUCAAACUGACACCUUCGAAAUUAGAAGAGAAAGGUAUUUAUCAUCAACUCGACUCAAAUAAUUCUUUAUCAACAAUAAUUUUUUCAACUUAAAAAAGGGAUUAUACAAAUUGGGUACACAUUAAUCAUUACUACUUAACCAAAUAAUAAAAGUAGCCAAAAAAAAAUAAAUUCCCAAUUUUUUUUUUUUUUUUCUUUUUGUGAUCUUUAGAUUUAGCUUCUAUACUGUUCUCCAUAUCUUUUUUUCUGCUUUAUUCAGUCAUUCAUUCAUUUUCACACACAUACACACAGUCACACUCCGUCACCUCACCAUGUGAACUUUUUUAUUUUUUUUUUUAAAUUUAUUUUUUCCAGUUUUUAUAAAUAAGUACCCAAAGUUGAGAUCUUUGUAUCUUAGUGACUUCUCUUUCUCUCUAAGAUUCUCUAAAUACAACAAAAAAUCAUAAUUGAGUUUCUUGUUUUUCACUAUAAGCACAUGAUACUAAUGUUGUUGUUCCAUUUUAAGUGAGUUUUUUUUAAUACCGAUAGUGUUCGGAUCAACUUUCGCGUACUUGAGACAUUCUUUUAUGAUAAUCAAAUUGUUCGAGCCAACUUUUAUACACCUAAAAUAAAUAAAAUCUACGGGAUACCUCCUUCAUGUGAAGUGAGAUUUGGAGAGAUUCUUUUGAGUUUUGUAUAGACAAAUGAAGCAAAAAAUUGAAGUGGGGUGUGUUGUUUUUCACUGAAAAGCACAUGAUAUACACUGUGGUGGUGGUGUUUUUUCAGUGAGAUAUUGGAGGAGUGGCUACAGAUAAAGAUGAUGAAGGGUUAUUCAUUCUUUACUGCUAGUGCUACUGCUCUCAUUCUUGCUGUUUCCAUUUGUUGCAGCUCAAUUCUUGCUGCUGAUUCUUUAUCAAAAGACAAUUUUAAGUCCAUUUUAGGUGAGUUGAAUUUGAUCAUUGUUGGAGUUUGUUGGCUGUUUGUUUUAUGAAAAGGGUGGUUUUUUUGAUAUGGGGUUUUUAUGUGAUGGCUGUUUUUGGUUCCUUUUAGAGUUCUAUGUGCUAAAAAGAUGAAAAAAAUGUGUUCUUGUAAUGAAAAAUUUGAUCAUUUUUGAAGUUUCUGUGGUUGUUUGUUUUAUGAAAAAGGUGAAAUUUUUGGAUGUGGGGUUUUUAUGUGAUGGUUGUUUUUGGUUCCUUUUAGAGUUAUAUAUGCUAAAAAGAUGAAAAAAUGUGUUCUUGUAAUGAAAAUUUUGGUCAUUUUGAAGUUUAUUAUGUGUUUGCAUUAUGAUAAAAAGGGUGAUUUUUUGAUGUGUGGUGCUGGUGUUUGGUUCCUUUUAGAGCUAUGUAUGCUAAAAAGAUGAAAAAAACAGGUUCUUGUAAUGAAAAUUUUGUUGUAAUCCAAAUUCCUCAAUUUUUAGGUAAGUUUUGUUGUAUCCCAGAGACUCUUUUAAGUCCAUUUAGGUGAGCCAUUUGAUAAUUUGAAGUUCAUUUGGCUGUCUGUUUCAUGAAUAAAAGGUGAAUUCUUGCUUUGGGUUUUUUUCAUUUUUAAGGGAGUGUGACACUAGUGAUGAUGCUAUAUAUGCUAAAAAGAAAAAAAAAUAUAAAUAUGUUCUUGUAAUGAAUUCUUUGAUCAUUUUGAAGUUAUUUGGCUGUCUGUAUUAUGUAAAAGGUGAAUUCUUGAUAUGGGGUUUUUCUAUUUGAAGGGACUUUGACAGUAGUGAUGAUUCUAUAUAUAUAAAAAGAAAACGAAACUGGGUUUUUGUGAUGAAAUUUUUGAUCAUUUUGAAGUUCCUUGGCUGUAUGUAUUAUUAAAAAAGGUGAAUUUUUAUAUGGGUUUUUUCUGUGUUGGUGGUUUUUGGUUCCUUUUAGAGCUAUGUAGUAUGUGCUAAAAGGAAAAAAAAGGGUUCUUGGAAUGAAAAUUUUGUUGUAUCCCAAGUUCCUCCAUUUUAGGAAUUUGAGAUCUGUUUUUAUAUGUUGUUAUUGCAAUCCAGAUGUCAUUGUCGAAUUAUUUUAGAACAAUUUGUUUUGGAGUACAUGAUUUGAUCUAUCUUGGUUGUUAUGGUAUUAAUACUUUAGUGGUCAUUCUUUAACAACUAUGCUUAAUGCUUUCUUAAUUUGUCAGGGUAAUUAUGUUUUUUUACUGUGUGAUUUCUGCUUCAAAGUUGCUUUACUUGUUCUUUUGGCAAGAAUGAUUACUUGUACAUCUGAAUUGAAUAUACAAGCCAGUUUGGUGAUCUAUAAGGAGUUUAAUUGAAUAUGCAGCGGUAAAAAAACACACCUAAAGUAUCCCGGUUUCUCGAGUUUCAUACCUGAACUAUUAGGUGUAAGGUGUGCGAGUUUCCUACGUGAAUUAUCACCAGUAUUUAUCAAAAUACACCUCAACUAUCAAUUGUUCAGGUAGGAAACUCGUACAACUCGCACACCUGAUAGUUCAGGUAUGAAACUUGAAAAAUCGGGAUACUUUAGGUGUCUUUUUGACCAUUAACUCAACCUAUCAUCUUCUUUGCAAUGCUUUUAGAUAAUGGUUAAGUGUUAAUUUAAGGCUCAUUUAGAUGAUGUGGCCCUUCCUUUUUAUACUUCUACUUUUGUAAAAAUUACAGGAGAGGGAAACUUGGAAUCAUGGAAGGAUGGAGUAUUGCACUCAGCAGAUAUGGCAGAAGCUCCAGGUGGGCAUGCGAGCACGCUUGUGCUGGCAGGAAACAGGACGAGGAGGCCAGAUUUUCUUUCUGGUUUUCACAAAUACAGAGGUGGAUGGGAUAUUGCCAAUAAACACUACUGGGCAGUAAGCACCAUCCUCUACUUUUUUGGCCAUUUUUUUUAAUUGAUUUAUCUUGUAAAUGUAUAGCUUUGUAUUUAUUUGACAAUUUUGCUAUAGUUUAGGAUCUCUGAUGCUGUAUUGCUCGCUGCUUUUUUGUAAUUUUAUAGUUUAUACAGUUCAUCAAGUUUCCUGUCUGAGCUGCAUUCUGUUUGUUUUGGAUCAUAAUCACUUGCAACAUAUCUUGCUUCACUACCACGUUGACCACGCCAUGUUUGUAAGCCCAAGUUUAUAACUAGUUUAUGAUCUACUGACCUUUAUGACUUAGUCAUUGAUUUUGACCUGGAAAGUUCUGAGAUAGAAACUGCAUAAGAUCUGAUUAGUUCACUUGAAAAGUUUUUGGUGCUGAGUGGUGAAAAUUGCUGGUGAAAGAUAUGCCUAGUACUACUUUUCUCAAAUUUAUGUGUUGUCUUCUGUUAUGCUAGCUAAUUUUCUUCUCAGGAGGAGAAGGAAAUGUGGUUGGGAAAGAGGAGGGGGAGGGUAAAAAACAAAAAGAGGAUCGUGAAAGUGAUAUCGGUUACUUAAAAAGUUAUAUAGAGUUUAAACAUCUAAGUUAUAAGUGUAUUUAACAAAGGAUGAAUUUGCAUAUGUUAUGGUGCAAAAUCUGCAUAAUUGCAUAGCUUUGUGUAAGAACUUGUUCCGCUUCUAGUGAUAUACUUUGGAUAUGGUGUUUCCUAUUCUAUUUAUGAUGUGUCGAAAUAGAGCGGACUAGAUAUUCCGGAUUGAUAUUGCUCAAGUCAACUAGUUUGAGAUUGAGAUGUAGUUAAUUGGUUUGUCUAAGAACUUGUUCCGCUUCUAGUGAUAUACUUUGGAUAUGGUGUUUCCUAUUCUAUUUAUGAUGUGUCAAAAUAGAGCGGACUAGAUAUUCCGGAUUGAUAUUGCUCACGUCAACUAGUUUGAGAUUGAGAUGUAGUUAAUUGGUUCAUUGAUUAAUAAGUGGUUCCUCUUCUAGUGUUAGGUGGCAUCGUGAGACUACAUGAGUUUAUAUAAAGACUGGUGAGGUUAUGAACUUCAACCUCAGUUCUAGAUCAGCUAAUUUUUGAGCAAAUAUUGUGAAUUUAUAGUUGAUGUUUUGCAUAUUGCCUUGAAACCAUUUUUUGGUUUAGACGACUCUGUACACGUAGUAAAAAUCUUGGGAUGAACUUGCUUCAACUGUUUAGUUGUGAUUUUUAUUUAGAAGGCAGUGAUCUUAUAUGGAUUUUGACCUUGGUUCCAAAGUCUGUUGGUUUUACAGGUGUUGCUGGUGUCAUACUCGCUUUGCUUUGGUUCAUUUCUUUUGGAUUGGCUCUCGUAGUUCAUUAUUGCUGGGGAUGGAAAAUCAAUAUUAUAGGCGGAGAACGACGUUUUUCAGAGAGAGUUUGCCUGAUCGUGCUUAUUAUCUUGACAUGUGCUGCAGCGUAAAAAUCUAAACACUCGACUUGCUGUAUGCAUUUAUAUAUUUUCUUAUUUGAAUUAUCAUGAGCCCAUCCUUAAUAUUUUGGUAUUUUGAUUAGAUGGAUGGAGUACAUCCAAUUUCUUGACUCGUUAAUUCUCUUUUGUACAAACUAAUCUUUUCUGAUCUUGCUAUCUUAUCAACUUUAUAUCUUAGGACUUUAUCUUACACUAUUUUUGGUUCAUAAACAUAGGACGUAUCCCACUGCUAGAUUAUCAAUGUGUGGCUCUAGCACUUGACUCACACAGGACUUGUAACUAUUUGAAAGUUUUAGGUUUUUUAAUCAGUAGGAUAUUACUCUUGUACUAUCUUAUUUCUUCGAUUCUAGUAUUACAUGUUGUUUCCUUGCUUCGGUUUUUUUAAUUAUUCGUUGUUGCUACUGUUCGCGUUUCCGUGUUUUCAGAAUGUCUUUUUCCACUACUGUAUUUUUGUUAUACACUUGCUUUUCGAGAUUCUUUACUUGAGGCGAGGUUCCAUCGGAAACAGCCUCUCUACCUUAGCAAGGUAGGGGUAAGGCUGCGUACAUGCCACCUUUCCCGGACCCCACGUUUGGGAUUGCAUUGGGUUUGUUGGUGUUGUAUUAGUGAAGGACAUAAAUCUUGCUCGCUAGAAAAAGUACUGAUUUCAUGUUUCUUAUUUAACUGACAGUAUCGGAUGCAAAGUACUGAUCUCAUGUUUCUUAUUUAACUGACAGUAUCGGAUGCAUUCUUCUUUCUGUUGGACAAGAUGAUUUUCAUGGUGAAGCAUUGGACACACUAAAAUAUGUUGUAAACCAGUCGGACUACACUGAACAGACAUUGAGAAAUGUAACACAAUACCUAUUACUCGCAAAAACUGUAAAUGUGGCCCAGAUUUUCCUCCCUUCAGACGUAAAAGAUGAUAUUGAUCGUAUAAAUGGAGACCUAACUUCUGCAGCAGAUACACUUGAGGAGAAAACAAAUGAAAACUCAGGAAAGAUACGAAGGGUCUUCAAUGCUGUGUAUGCCUCGAAUUAAUUUACUGUUACUCUUCAGUGUUUGCUUUUUCUUCAAACGUCUGAUAUUAAUGUGCAAAUGGCACUUUACAGGCGGUCAGCUUUGAUCACUGUAGCCGUCAUCAUGCUUCUCAUCUCUAUUCUUGGUCUUUGUACGUAUUACUACACCGAGCUACUUUUGUUCUCAAACAUUCGCGCUUAAACAUUAUUUUGAGACUGAAAUGACAUUUCUUGCAGGCCUCUCUAUACUUGGCCAUCAACACACAAUUCACAUGUAAGCUUCUCAAACAAUUAGCUUGUCCUUCUGUUUUAUCGACAUUCCCAGUCAUCUCACAAUCCAAUGCUAUGAUGCAGAUUUAUCAUUAGUGGAUGGUUGCUGGUGGCCUUUACAUUCGUUCUCUAUGGAGUUUUUGUCAUCAUUAACAAGUAAGAAACAAUGUCUAAAAUUGGGUUUUCAUUUAGUACCGAGGCUUGUAUUUGCCAUUCUUUAGUUUUCUACUCUUUUCCUUGUUCCUGGGGUUGCAAAAUGCUUUCUUUGUUCAACACCCAAGGGUGUGGCCUAUCUAUCGGUCAAUGAAGUGAGAUGGUAAGGUGCUUGGUGAUUUCUUUACAUUUGCUAAAACUUGAUGGGUAGAGUACUACUCCUCUGCUGGUCCCGUAAAAUAGUCGGGAUGAUGGUAAGCUAUCUCAGACAAAACCGUUAUUCAAAGGAGAAGUGCUCUCUUAAUUCAGUCAACCAUACGUAUGUCCAGUAUUCCGGCAGCACCGGGGAGUAACUUCCCGACAUGCUUAGCUUUCUCAAUCAGUCCAUCUCUUUCAUUUAUCGUUUUUUUGAUAAGUGUAAAAGGCAGAAUAAGAAUAGUUCCAAGAUUGGAAGGAAUCGCUGAUCAGUACGCUUUUUUUUUUGUUUUCCGGUCCAGUGCAAUUGCAGAUACUUGUAUGGCAAUGGGAGAGUGGGUGGACAAUCCUCAUGCUGAAAGUGCUCUUAGCAACAUCCUUCCAUGCGUUGACCCGAGAACUACAAAUCAGACGCUGUUCAAGAGCAAACAAGUCACUGUUGAUCUCGUAAAUAUUGUCAAUGGAUUUAUCGAUACAUACGCAAAUUCCAAUCCAUCUAAUCAUCUCAAUUCAAAUUACUAUAAUCAGUCCGGACCCGUUAUGCCACAUCUUUGCUAUCCAUAUGACUCCCAAUUGCAAGAUCUGCCAUGCCCGGCCGAUCAAGUGUCUAUGGCAAAUUCUUCUAUGGUAAGUGUUCAAUGUUUCUCUUCCCGCUCAGUCACUCCCCUUCUACAGUUGUUUUUAGUUUAUGUUACUCGGACUCUUCAAAAAUGUUGCCAGCUGCAUAUCUGAUCUUCAUAAAGUAGUGUAUUUCUGGAGGAUUUAACGCGGGUGUGGCAAACAUUUUUGGAGAGUCGGAUUAACAUAGAUUUUAAUUGGAUUUUGAUCUAUGCUGCUUGGACUCUUUGAAAACGUUGACGGGUGCAUUGGAUCCUCCAAAAGUAGUGCAUUUGGGAGGAGCCAACACGGGUGCGGCAACAUUUUUGGAGAGUCCGAAUUUUGUUCUAGUUCUUUUGUUCAGAAUUUUCAGAAUCUUGGGCAUUCAAUAUUUUGUAAUCCUAUUAAGCUACUUCUGCAAUAAUUUCCAGGUAUGGCAGAAUUAUACAUGCAAUGUAUCCGAGGCCGGAAUGUGCACGACCGUCGGGAGGUUAACACCCGACAUGUACGAACAGUUAGUGGCAACGGUCAACAUUAGCUACGCUCUCGAACACUAUGCGCCACCGCUUCUCAAUCUCCAGAACUGCAAUUUCGUCCGCGAUACAUUCAGGAACAUCACAGCCAACCACUGCCCUCCGUUGGAACACCAUCUCCAUGUCGUCAACGCAGGGUUAGCCGUCAUCUCAGUCGGAGUCAUGCUAAGUCUCGCGUUGUGGAUAGUAUAUGCAAACCGCCCCCAAAGGGAGGAAGUGUUUGCGAAGCUGUCUUCGCGUAUAAAGAGUAGCUGCAAUGGCAAGAAUGUUAGCUGCAGCAAUAGUAACAUUGAUUUGUCAUCAAGAGGGACUACUCCAAAAAUUGGAGUGUAGAUAUAAUACUAUAAUACGAAGGGGAGCCUCGGAGUUACUAGUAAAGUUGUUGUCAUGUGACUAGGAGGUCACAAGUUCAAGCCUUGGAAACAGCCUCUGGCAGAAAUGCAAGGUAAGGCUGCGCGUACGAUACACUCUUGUGGUGGGGUCCUUCCCCGGACACCGCGCAUAGCGAUAGCUUUAGUGCAUCGGGCUACCUUUUUCUUUUAGAUAUAAUACUAUAAUAGAGUUUGAGCAUAGAAAAAAAUGUAGAAACAUUGUGGCAUGAGAUUCAUUUUGAUCUCUUUAUAAGCUUUUUUGUUCAAUGUAUGGGGCAAAGCACCAUAUUUUUGAGCAAGGCAUUGAUAGCCAUUUUUAUUUUCAAUAUAUUCAAUUGCUGUUACUGUUGUAUUCACUAUAACUAUUCUGGUUAAUGUGCAAAAUGUUCAUUUUCAUUUUCACAAUAGUAAUAAUGACGGUGAAUCAAAGCAAGAUUAAUUACUUUAAUUUGGGGAUAUUUUUGGAGUAUUUGUAACUUAAUGUUAUUAUCCAUCCUUAAUUAAUGAAAAGUUUUUUUUUGGAGCAUUGUUGUUCUUUUUAAUUUUUGUUGUGAUAUUGCUAUGUUUAUGUAGUUUUGAGUUUUUAUUUGUUUCUCACACCGUACUUGGUUCUUGUUUAUUUGAUAUUUAUAUUAAGAGAUUAUUUAUUAUACUAUUAGAAGUACCUAAAGUGAAGGGUUAGCUUUAUAAUGUUGAUAAUUAGUUCCUCAAAAUAACAAAUAUUAGGAAAAAUAAUAAUAUUGAAACAUCAUAACCCUAAGCAGAAACAUGUAGAUUAUUAAUUUUGUCGUUGUAAUUGUAUACUCUUUUCGUUUCAAAAUAAUUGCUAUGUAGAGUAUUAAUUUUAUCGUUGCAAUUGUAUACUCUUUUUGUUUCAAAAUAGUUGCUCUUAUUAAUUUGAAAUUUCUUUUAAGAAAAUUUAUGAAGAGUUUAUUUUAUUAAUUUAGUCUUAUUAAUUCUACAGUUUUGAAAAUGACUUUUAAAAUCACCAAGAACAUUUAGUUGUGAUCCAUAAGUGGUUUUUUUGGAAGAAGGUUGGAGAUAAUUUUAUAACUUUUUUGAUUUAAUUAAUUUUAGAAAUCACGAUAAAUAAUUUGAGUGAAUAAAAAAAGUAUUUAACCUUUCCUCUCACUGACAAAAAUUUGGGUAUUAUAUUGCAUGUGUCUAUAGGCGUGCAUGCAUGCAAUCACACAUUACAAUAAAACUUUAUUAAAAAAUGUCAGUUAGAGCUCUGACUUGAAUUUUGUUGGUUUGGUUCUGAAAAUUUUGUGGUACGAUCCAUAUUUAUGAUUUUCAAUGAGAUCUGUGGUGGUAGCGUAGGAAUUGGGCCGAUAGGCUCGAUCUUGGAGCCCACCACUGAUCCCGAUGGGGUGCGGGGGCUUCGCCUAUGCGGUAUGAAUCUUUAUGUUUUUGGGCCUAGAUCUUAUUUGUACGCACAUACAAUAUAAGUGUAAUUAGUGGGUUGGUUUUGGACAUUCAGAAAUUACGUCAUUCUCCACAUUGUACUCCUCUCCUUUCAUAGUAAAAUUCCUCUACCUCUACCCGUAGUUUUUGCCGUAAGAAUUUCCAUGUAAAUUUGUGUGUUAUUCUUGUUUUUCUUUUACUUGUGGUUUGCUUAUUAUUCUGUCCGAAUAAUAAUAAUAUUAAAAGCUUUAUUUUAUUUUAUUUAAGCGGAUUAUCAGUAUAAUGUUUACACCCUUAUGAUGGAGCCCUUCCCCGAACAAUGCGCAUAACGAUAGCUUUAGUGCACCGAACUGCCCUUUAUUUAAGUGGAUUAUCAGUAUAAUGUUUACAAUGUAUAGAAUUUUGAUAUUUAAUAGUGCUUUGUACAUACAAAGAAGUUUAAUAUAAUAAUUAUAUAUGCACAUUGUUAUGCACAAUAUCAAGAGAUUUUUGAAGUGUGAUUGUACAUUGUGAAUAAUACAUUGUUAUUGUCGUCCAAUAAAUUUGUUUUUCUUCUUCUUGUUUUUUCUAAUUGUUUAAAAAGAUAUUUAUUUUAAUUUUUGUCAUCUCUUGAUUAAAGUUGUAAGGUUAAAAGAUAUUUUGAUACGUUUUGUAAAUUUUUGAAUAAAGUCCAAGCAACAAAGACUUAUUCAGUAUAACCUCAUAAGUGAAAUAUGAUAAUAUUUAUUUUGUUUGGUUGGAUUUGAUUGUGUCGUAGCUUUAUAAUUCAAAUUAAGUUUAUAGUUGGAUGAACUGCAUUGCUUAUAUUAAUCCCCCAAAGAAAGACAAUAGAUACAACUCAGUCGUGAACAACCCACCAUUGUACUGUAAAAAUUAAAUAGGUUCGAUCUAUAGAUUAUAGUCAUUAGAGCCUCCUAAAACAAUCUACUAAAUUCAUUGAGUUGUUUCAAAAACCUGACUAUCCUUAUUUUUUUAUCAUGUCUCUCGUACUAAUAACCUAUUUGACCAAACUUAUUUUUCUCUCUCUAAAAGUGCUUAUUUUUUAAAAAUAAUUAUCAAUCAAAAAGUGUUUUUAAAAUUUCUCACCAUAAUCAUUUUUUUUUAAAAUCACUUUUUAAAAUAAAUUAUUUUUAUAAGCUUAACCAAACAACCUAUAAACCACGUAUCUAUUUUAACACUUUCAUUUUCAUAUGCUAAAUUUGAUAGCUUUUAAUUAAUCAACACUUUAUCGAGUAUGACAAAAUUAAUCUAACUACUGCUCUACAAAACUUACCUUAGCGAUCCCUUUUUUACCACUCAAUCAAAAACCAAUAGAUUAAAAUGUAUUUUUACUUUCUUAAAUUCGAUGUAAGUAAAAUAUUAAAUGAAUAAAUUGAAAGGGGGAAUGCUAAUAAAUAUAGUGUUAUUCUAAAAUAAAAUCUCAUUCUUCCUUUUUUUAUAAAAUUCAUUCGUGUUUGACUUUUAUCUUUGUCACUCUCUCCAUAUGUAUGUGUACAUAUAUAUUUGUUUCUGUAAAUAAUAAAAUUUCACAAAAAUAUAUACUCUUUUUUUUUUUUUUUUUUUUUUUUUUUUUAAAAAAAAUUUUGGUCAUGAAUUAUUGUGUAAUUUUGGUAGUAAUUUUGGUUGUAUCAUUUUCAAUUAGUGUUACAAGUGGAUCUCAUGAACGUGUGAUUCUUAGAGCUAUCAUAAAGGAGGAGAAGAGUAAUAAAAAUGGCGAAUUUGCUAUUGAUUUGAAUGCCACCAACUUUGAUUCUGUUUUUAAUGACACUCCUACCCCUUUUGCCAUUCUUGAAUUCUUUGCUCACUGGUUAGUUCUUUUCUUUUUUUGCUUUUUUCUUUUGCAUAUUUUAUUGAUUUGGGGUUUCAAGAACUACAUUUUUCUAGCUGAAUUCAUGGUUAUUUGGUGUAGAUAAAGUUGUAUAUGUUGUUGUUGUUGUCUCUGUGUGUGUUGAUGGAGUGUUUUGGAUGAGGUAGAGGUAGUCGGAAAAAGUAUUGGAGAGAGAGGUGAUUAGACAGGAUAUGAUGUAGUUUCAGCUUAUCAAGGACACUGUUUAGUUCUUUUCUAUUUUUGCUUUUUCUGCAUAUUUUCUUAAUUUGGGGUUUCAAGAAUUACAUUUUUCUAGCUGAAUUCAUGGUUAUUUGGUGUAGAUGAGAUUGUCUCUGUAUGUGCGUGUUGUGUGUGUGUUUAUGGAGUGUUUUGGAUGAGGUAGAGGUGGUCAGAAAAAGUAUUGGAGAGAGGUGAUUAGACAGGAUAUGACGUAGUUUCAGCUUAUCGAGGACAAUGUUUAGUUCUUUUCUAUUUUUGCUUUUUCUGCAUAUUUUCUUAAUUUGGGGUUUCAAGAAUUACAUUUUUCUAGCUGAAUUCUGGUUAUUUGGUGUAGAUGAGGUUGUCUCUGUAUAUGUGUGUGUGUGUUAAUGGAGUGUUUUGGAUGAGGUAGAGGUAGUCGGAAAAAAGUAUUGAGGAGAGGUGCUUAGACAGUAUAUGGCGUAGUUACAGGCUUACAGCUUACCGAGGACAUGAGUUUAGAUAGGAGGAUAUGGGGGUCGCGGAAUCAAGAUUAGAUGGUUAGUAGGUACUCUCUCUAGUCCAAUAUAAGUGAAUUGCUGGAGUGUGGAACACCCCUUAUAGCCCAUUUUAUAAAAUUUUGAUGAAAGAAUUAAACCUAAAUAGUU
This 42244-nucleotide long non-coding RNA is filed under the name Capsicum annuum. RNAcentral describes it as "long non-coding RNA (CANN_LNC018246)". The record is from RNAcentral. Lineage: Eukaryota; Viridiplantae; Streptophyta; Magnoliopsida; Solanales; Solanaceae.